AGUAUGAUAAUUUCAAGUAAAAACAUUGAAAACACCAUGCUUUUAUGUGAAUACCACGUUCGCAUUCGUAUAAGUCCCACAUUCGCUUCUUAUGGCACUUAAACUCCCAAAGUCCCAAUCCCAUGCAGAAACUAACCAUCCGUCGACCUACUUCAUAACCAAUGUUCUUUGUAUUUAUCUCGACUUCCAAUUUUCCGACCAUUUAUGGAAUUUUAGUAUGAUUUGAUCAUCGAAAAGCUUCAUAUCGACGCUCAUAUGUUAUCCUAAAUUGUUCUGGCUAUUCAUUUUUGUUGUAGACAUCCACUAAUAUAAUGUCCAUUGAAUUACUAUAAGAUUUUUCUUUUCAACAGAUUAACAUUUUGCAGUCGCGAGUUUAGGUUGGAGUCUGUUCUUGAUGGGAUUAAUCAAAAACUGCCUCAUGUAAGCUACUGUGUAUGGAAAACAAGGGAAUAUUGUAAAAAAGGGUAAGAAACUCAUUUCCAUUAUUAUCGACUGGUGGAGUUGGACCGUUAAUUCGUGAUGGCCCAACAAUCUCUGAUAUUUUUUUGCUUGGUUAAUUUCGGACAUUGGAAUGUGAUGUGUGGAGCUCUUCAUUAAAGUGAAUAUUGCCUGUUUUGGAGUUUUGUUGGUGGAAAUUUUUUUUUUUGAUUAAAUUACAGCGAUUAUUGAGAUCGAGGAUUUCGUUUGAUCGUUAGGAAAAUGAUAUGUCAACAUCUUUGAAUCUAGAUCGUUAGGAAAAUGAGACAUUCAACAAUUUAUUUUGGAUAAAUAGACGUAAUUGGCUCUUUAAAGAAAUCUGGUUGCAGAUUUGAGGUCUUUGGCUAUUUACUAGACUAUUCAAUUUGGAUUUUGCUCUAACAGUCUACAGUAACCCGAAAACUUAAUAGUUUUCUAUUUUUAAGAAUGGAUUGGAUUGUGUUUUUUUUUUUUUGCAUAUGCGGAUGUGAAUACGAUUAUUUGUUAUAUAUUAGUGAUAAUAUUAUUUUGCAUAAAUAGCAUUAUGUGCUUAUAAUAAUCAUUUUCUUCAAACCAUAAUCUGGAAUAAAAACCGAAAGAAAAUAAAUGUAUUUGCGUUUUUAAUUUUAAAGAAUGUUUGUUAAAAAAAAUACUUCUUUCUUUUUAUAAGAUCUUUUUUAAAAGUGCAGAAGUUAAGAAUUCAUAUAAUUAUAAUUUUUUUCAUUUUUUUUUAACAUGUAAAAACAGGGGCGGAUGCAGGUGAGUGGAUAUGGGGUCAUGUGCUCCCUACUCUUUUUUUAUUUUUUUUAUUGAAUAAACUUAAAAAUAUAUAUUUUAAUAUGUUAUAUUAGUGAAUUUAUAAAA
Molecule: long non-coding RNA, 1320 nt
Filed under: Eutrema salsugineum
Lineage: Eukaryota; Viridiplantae; Streptophyta; Magnoliopsida; Brassicales; Brassicaceae
Description: long non-coding RNA (ESAL_LNC000817)
Source: RNAcentral